This is a long non-coding RNA of Homo sapiens (human), 5930 nucleotides long. Ensembl annotates it as MOCS2 divergent transcript. Its record names the gene MOCS2-DT. NCBI's taxonomy places the organism in Eukaryota, Metazoa, Chordata, Mammalia, Primates, Hominidae. The record is from Ensembl.
GCCCCGCGCCGGGCUCUAGCUGUUUCCCUCAGGCGGCCUGUUCCACGCCAGGAUUAGUUUUGCUUCGCAGAUGGGCCGUGGUGGUGAGAGGAAGCAAUCAGUAUGGAAAUGGAGAAAUGGCUUACCAUGCAUGUCCUUCUCCCCAGGAGGGAGGUCGUGGUGCAGGCGAGCAGACGCCAGACUCCUGGACACUUGCCGCCUGCGUUAUGGAGGCUUAGCUAAUAACCUUGCAGGGGUCUUCAGGCUUUUCCACUGGCUCACCUUUAGGCUUCUGACACUUUUACCUACGAUUGAAAAAAGACGAGAUUCCAUGAGACUAGAAAUGUAGGAGCAUCUCAGACCUUCACAGAACGCUCUGUUAGAAGAUGAGAAACAUAACGUUGCUUGUGAGAGGUGAAGCCAGCUGGACUUCCUGGGUCGAGUGGGGACUUGGAGAACUUUUCUGUCUAGCUAAAGGAUUAUAAGUGCACCAAUCAGCACUCUGUAAAAACACACCAGUCAGCGCUCUGUGUCUAGCUAAAGGAUUGUAAAUGCACCAAUCAGCACUCUGUAAAAUGGACCAAUCAGUACCCUGUAAAAUGGACCAAUCAGCAGGACGUGGGCAGGGACAAAUAAGGGAAUAACAGCUGGCGCCCCUAGCCAGCAGUGGCAACCCACUCGGAUCACCUUCCAUGCUGUGGAAGCUUUGUUAUUUCACUUUUCACAAUAAAUCUUAGGGUUGCUUACUUUUUGGGUCCAUGCCACCUUGAAGAGCUGUAACACUCACCACGAAGGUCUGAGGCUUCAUUCUUGAAGUCAGACUAAGAACCCACCGGAAGGAACCAAUUCCAGACACACGUGUAGUAGCAAAUUAUCAAAAAUGUUCAUUGCCUUUUCUGAAAAACAAUUUUCCCAGAAACACCUGGCAGAAUCAGAGUUCAUUGUGUCAAAAGAAAAACUUUGGACAAAUUAAAAUGAGCAAAGAACAAUUUGUGAAAUGUGCCCCUCUCCCAACCAGAACAGGUUCAAAGAGACUCCAGUGCUGCCACAUGAUCAAAGAAUUAUGGACAAAAAAAGCAAAUAAAUUACAGGAAAAGAAAAUGAGAUAAUGCAGUAGUUACUUUUUGAAGGACGACCGAAGCAGGAUAUUUCCCUGACCCCUUCAUGGGACCCACGUCAGAGGUGUUUACUCAGCCUGCUGCCCACAACUCCUCACAGGAGGGAGCGCACAAGUGAACGAGGGUGAGGACUGGAGAGCACCAGCACUGGAACAACCCGGCCACUUCGGCGCUACUGGGAUCAAACUCCAUCACUUGGACACACUGUGUUCCACCCCUCGUGGGAGGGAGCAUGCAGGAAAGGUGACUGGCCACUAAGAAGGUGGAGGUGAGCCGGGUGUGAUGGCUGAUACCUGUAAUCUCAGCACUUUGGGAAGCUGAGGCGGGAAGAUCGCUUGAGACCAGGAGUUUGAGACAAACCUGGGCAACAUAAUGAAAUCCUCAUCUCUACAAAAAAAAAGCAUGGGCAUGUUGGAGCAUGCCUGUAGUCCUAGCUGCUUGGGAGGCUGAGGCAGGAGGAUUGCUUGAGCCCAGGAGUGCAAGACUGCAGUGAGCUAUGGUCAUGCCACAGCACUCUAGCCUGGAUGACAGAGCAAGACCCUGUCUCAAAACAAUCAAUCAAUAAAAAUUGGAGGUAGGAAGGGUGGCUGACAUUCCUGGAGGAUUUCACAUUUGGUCAGAACUGGUUCAGGUCUGGGUCAGAACCUAUCCCCCGGGGAGGAGGCAUCAAGAGAACUUUUGGCAAGGCAGAUGCUAGAGGAAAAAAAUACAGAUAGGGGACACCACAGUUUUAAAGCUUGUAAAAAGUACUUUUAUUUGUAUUUCUGUGUACUUAUCUAGUUCAACCUUUUGAAGUGAAAUAUAAAUUAAAAUUCUUAGACUAAUUGAAUCAGAUGACAGCUGAAGAUCUACUUAAGAAAAAAAUGUCUUGAGAAUAAAUCUGCAGUCAUCACUGUGCUGCAUGUUAACAUCUUCUCCUAGACUCUGUGUAUAAACAAAAGUAUACAAUUAAUUUGAAGUCAUCAAGAGUGUGUGGAAAAAAAUACAUCUAUGAUAGGUGUGCCACCAUGCUGCUUGUGUAAGAUUUUCUUUUCCAAUAUCUAAAAUAAUCAUUUCCACAAGAGGGUGCUAGUUGAUAUCUUAUUCUUAAAAUAAAUUGAAUCUCAUUUUGGAAAUAAAAGGCUCUUGUUACAUUUAUAUUUAUGUAGUUACACCAAAUAUUUCAACAUAAUUCAUGUAGUAUACUUGGGAAGAUUACCUUCAUUGUUACUGUCUCCCAAAGAAACAAAAUUUUAGAUCACAGAAAGUCACAGUUUUUAGUUGAUAUAAAAAAGAAAUCUCUCAAGCAUAAUUCUAGUAUUAUUUAUUUAAAAAAAUAAAUUUUGGUUGGGCACGGUGGCUCACACCUGUAAUCCCAGCACUGUGGGAGGCCGGGGCAGGUGGAUCAUCUGAGAUCAGGCGUUUGAGACCAGCCUGGCCAACAUGGCGAAACCCCUCCUGUACUAAAUAUAUAAAAAUUAGCAGGGCAUGGUGGCGCAUGCCUGUAAUCGCAGCUACUUGGGAGGCUGAGGCAGGAGAAUCGCUUGAACCCAGGAGGUGGAAGUUGCAGUGGGCUGUGAUCGUGCCAUUGCACUCCAGCCUGGGUGACAGAGCAAGACUCCAUCUCAAAAAAUUAAAAAAAAAAAUAUCGUAAAUAAAUAAAUGUUAAAAAUGCAUUUUAGAAAAGUGAAUUUAUGUCGUCAGUAUUUUUACAAUUUACUUAAAUAUUAAAUUUGAGCAAGAUUGCUUCGCUUUAAAUGACACCACAAAAAUGCCUUGAUUUUCCUCUUUUUGUGGAAACAUAUCUAAGAGUAGAAGGCCUCAGCAACAUCUUGCAGUGUUGCUAAAUUCAUAUGUGUCUCAAAUUUGGCAUAGCCUGCAAAGUAUCCUGUGUUACUUUUGAGAAAUGAUCAAUGAAUCUCUGCUAGCAUAAUCCUAGCAUAAACAUCUUAGUCUCACACACACACACACAUCUAUACAUAUGUAUGCAUGUACAUAUAUACACAUACACACAUCUAUACAUAUAUAUCCAUAUACACGUAUGCAGAUAUAUAUAUAUGCAUAUACACAAACACAUCAGUGCUUAAGACAAUUCAUAUACUUAAGUCUCCUUCACCCUCCAUCUCUCAUACUAGGUUCUCCAUUUGCUAUUUACAAAUAAUAAUAGGAGAAAUGGCAGGAUAAUUUGCUUACUGCCUGGGAUAACUAUCAAAUUGGCCACUUCUAGAAACUACAAGGAAAAUCCUUCAUAAUUUAGCAUGGUUUUCCACAGUAUUGCUCUGUGUGCCCGGAGGAGAAAGUACUUAGCAACAAAAAUAGUACUUAUUGUGCAUCUCCUUGUGCCAGACAUUGUAUAAUAAUAUAUGUUAUAUUAUUAUAUAAAUUGUAUAUUGAUAUGGUUUGGCUGUGCCCCCAUGCAGAUCUCAUCUUGAAUUGUAGUUCUCAUAAUCUCAGUGUGUUGUGGGUGGGACCUGGUGGAUGAAUCAUGGGGGAGGUUACCCCCACCCUGCUCUUGUGAUAUUGAGUGAGUUCUCAUGAGAUCUGACGGUUUCAUAAGAUGGUUUUCCCUCUUUGCUCGGCACUUCUUCCUCCUGCUGCCUUGUGAAGAAGGAUGUGUUUGCUUCCCCUUCUGCCAUGACUGUAAGUUUCCUGAGGCCUCCCUAGCCACGUGGAACUGUGAGUCAAUUAAACCUCUUUUCCUUAUAAAUUACCCAAUCUCAGGUAUUUCUUCAUAGCAGCAUGAGAACAGAAUAAUACAUAUAUUAAUAUAUCAUAUUUAUUAUAUAACAUAUGUUUAUAUAUUAAGAAAUAUAAUAAUUGUGCCAGGUAUUUUAUUUCAUCCUUUUAACAACCCAAUGAUUUGGGUAUUCUCAAUACUCCCAUUUUCUAAUUGGGGAAACUGAGUCUCAAGAGAAAUUAAGUACUUAUCCAAGGUUUCUUGCUCUGGUGAAGCAAUCAUUUGGAUCCAGGCCUGUCUUACUCUAAGGCCCUACAUUUUUAACUAAUCUUACUAAUCUUUAUGCCCGUCUGAAACCCAGAAAUAGCUACAUUAUGUUACCAAGCCCAUACCUUCAACUCAGGUCCUAGCAUGUAUCUAAUGCCCUCAAUUUAUGUUUGGACACAUUUUGAUCUGGAAAAUCCAUGGCCUUCUUUGAUGGAUACCAAAAGAGGUUAGAAGGAAUGGAGUGAAGUUAUUUACAAACUUCAACUGACCCUCAGAGUGGCAUCAGCUAUCACUGAGCACUGUGAGACAAUCAGGGAUAGGCACACAACCCAAGUCAUUUUCCAGGACUUUUGUUUGCACAACUGGGAAAGCUGGCUUGUAAUGAUGUGAAACUUGGGGGCCUCCGCAAGGACCCCACAACUCUUCCAUCUACUAUUUCUUCAUCCAGAGGAAAUGAAGUGGAGCUAGGGACCAGGAGAUGUCCUUUGAACCAGGAAUCAAUAUGGCCUGAAGCCAGAUCUUCCCAUUUGGACUUUUUAGUUAAGUGAUACAACAUACUUCCUCAUUGCCAGGGCCAUUUUGGGUCAAGUUUUCUGCCACUCAGUGGUAGACCCCAGCUGAUUCAGCCAGCCUAAAGAGAAGAGUGUAACAAGAUGUUGAACAGGGUUUCUCCAGACUUGGCACCAAGGCUCAUAACACAGAACAACAUGUGUGAAAUUGUAAAGCCCCUUUUUUUCUGAAGAGAGCAGCCAAUCAUGAGACGUUCCUCAAGCCUUCCAUAGAGUCUGCAAAGCUGAGCCUACCACAUGUGACUGUUCCCCAAUUUUGUCUUUAUGAAAAAGGAACGGAGAGAGGAAAGUGUGAGCCUCAAUGGAGAAACUGGAGAAUCUGUAGGAUUUGGAAUGAGAGAUGAUUCACCUCCCCUCCCCACAGAGAGAAGAGAUGAUUCACCUCCUUUCUCCUCACCAAGGCAAGACAGAAGAGCUCAGAGGCUGGGGGCCUGCAAGAUUGGCAACCUCAGUGGAAUGGAUGGAUGUCCUGGUUAAACAUCUGCUUAGGUCAUGAACUGGCUAAUUUGUCUCUACGUAAAUCUGAAUUGGGGGAAGAAGCACCUAAAGAGAAACACUAGGAAGGAGAGGGUUCUGAUCUGCCCUACCACUGUUUGUGGCAAAGAUGAGUGAGUUGACUUUGGGUCAGAAAAUAGCCAGGUUGUAGACAUCUUGCCCUGCCCACAAGGUGGUUGCCUGAGUAAGUGCAGGGAUUGGGGGAGGGCAGUAACAAGAAGCUUUGUGGUGGGGGCAUGUGCUGAUGAUGGUAGGAAGAAGAGGUGGAGUUCAAGCUGGAUCUCCUGGUUAAGAAACUGUGGAGCAAAAGGGUCUGCACAGCCCUCUGAAAAACCAUACAAGAAAGAUCCAAAGGAGGGAAGAGACUUAAAUCAAAUUUGAGGUUGAUGCUUUAAAAUAACAGAGUUUUAAUGGCUCAGCAUGACUGGAAAUUUAUGGAAUCUAUCCCAGAUAGUAUAAAGUGACAAGAAACAGAGAAUGAAUUAGGUAUGGCUAAAGGCAGUGACUGGAAGAAAUAGAAUCUUUAUAUAUGUAUACUCCACUGAAUGGGGGGGCUGCUUAGUAACUCUAAUGGGAUAUUCGAGAAUUUAUCUCUCAUCAUACAGACAUCUGAAAAUGGGCCAAAAGCCAAUAGAAACUUUGUCAUGAGUGGCCAUGGCAAAUCUAAUGUCAGUAUCUUUGUCCACAGUUUCGUUGCAUUGUUGGUCAUCUCAUAAAUCCUAUUUCAGAAGGCUUUGCUAGAGGAGCCCGGGGUCGGGGAGGGCUAGGCUUAGGGGAAAGUCAGAGUUUAUGUCCAAUGGUUUCCCAGGUUGCACUAAAUUGGACAACUAACCAGAAUCUAUUUAG